RNAcentral lists this long non-coding RNA (3174 nucleotides) under Homo sapiens (human). RNAcentral describes it as "HSALNT0075262". The record is from RNAcentral. Lineage: Eukaryota; Metazoa; Chordata; Mammalia; Primates; Hominidae.
CAUCCCUGGAGUCUCCCUAAAUUUACUGUGAUUCUGGGGGCUGCCCAAUUCACAAAUCAUUUAUUGCUCAAUCACACUCCUUUAAAUUCGGUUAAAGUUUUCCUUUUAACAGAUGGUGUCAGAAGCGGGGUCCAAAGUAGAGCUUCUAAUGACCCCAGGAAUGCUGAGUGAACAAGCAAGGUAGCUGCAAGGACCCUGCAAGGACCCACUUGUGUCCUUGAUUCCUCAGAGCGGCUGAGGGUUGUGGGUCAGUGGCAAUUCCAAAGACUGCUGUGCCAAACAGAACUUAAGGAAGAGAGAGAACCUAGCCAAACAACACUUUCUCUUGCUAAAGUAAGUGCUCCAGAUCACCUUUCAAAUGCAAUUACCUAAUACAACCAUGGAUUUUAAAGUACAUAGGCAGUUUUGAUGGCAGAAAGAAUGAAAUUUCCCAUUUAUGUUAGAGUUUAUUUUUAACUCAGAAAUAAAGCAGAACAUCAUAAUUGUGCAUAUUUUUUUCUACUAUAUUAUGACCAUAACAGACAGUGAAGUACAAAAUGUGAAACUACAUUCUAAUAUAAUAUAGUCAUGCUGGAUAUUUUAGACAUUGUAUAUAUUUCACACAAGAACAUAUCUAAUAUGUUGAUUUACUAUAGCCUAUACAUUUGUCAAAAAAUCAGUAUUUUAAAAUACAGCAUUUUGAUGUCAUCUUUUACAUCACAUUUUUAUAGCCUAAAAUCAUGUUAAGGUUUUGUAUUAACUCUUUUAAUGCAAGGAUUCAAGACCUUGAGCAGGAUUCUAUUGAAGAAGCUUUCUUUAAGUGAAUUUACAUUAUUGAGAUUUUAUGAUUCAAUUGUUUCACAAUUCUAAUAGUAAUCCAGUAGGAGGAAAGAUUAUGUAUGUGUACAUGUGCACACACACACAAUUUAAGACCCCACAAUAAUAUCCAUUUUUUUUUUUUUGUGUGUGUGUGUGUGUGUGUGUGUGUCUACAAUAAUAUCCAUUUCAUUUAAACCACAUGAAUUGACAAGUACUUAACUCAUUAACCUCUGCGGUACUCAGGUAGAUGUUGAAUCAGAAAUUUAAAAGGCUUUUAAAAAUACAGACAGAAAACAAAGGAUAAAUUGAUGCACUCUUAUCUCUAAAUUACAGUUUCUUUUAUGUCAAGAAGUGUUGGCAAUACCAACUUCAAGGUCACUGUCAAUUUUGAAAAUCAUUAGCAAAUAAAAUAUGACUUAAUUGAAGCAAACUCAGCAUGGAACUGCAUUAUUUUAAGUAAAUGCUAUAUUAUAAUUUGAAGAAGAAUUACUAACUGCCACUCUCACUGACAAUUAAAUAAAUGAAGAUGGGGCUAUGCAACUUUCCCCCAUGUCUUUCCAUAAUUAAAUAUGGAAAUAGAAUUUGUGAAGAAUUAAAAGGCCCAAAGUGCAAUAAUUCAAACACUAAUGAACUGUUUUCCAGUGUGGCAGCACACAGGUAGUUCCCAGCAUGUUAUCAUUAGCAAAUAUGUCAGUAUCAUCAUUCCAAUCACAAACUUUGCUUGUGAAAUACACCUCUGAAAAAUAGAUUUCUAAUAGUUACCUGGGCUCUUCUAAAAGAAGAAAGAAGCUAAACUUUAUCAUUCAAAAUGUUAUAUAAAAUAACUUUUUUGUAGAAUUUCUCUUCACAAAUUAAAUUUAGCUAAAGUUUAACAUUUGUCACUUAGAGUCUUACACAACUCUUAAUUCUGUAUUUAAGCUUUAUUAGACAGCUUCAGCAGAUGUGAUUCACCAGUUAAGAAAGAAUCACAAUAAUUACCCAUCUAUUGGAUUAUUUUCUUAAUUUUCUAUCAAUAUGCACCUCUGGAAACUAAACCCACAUAUAGUAUUAAAUAUUAUUUCAAAAAGCAAGCAAAGAGUUACCCAGAAUUAUCGAAAAUUCAGAUAAGAUUUGAAUUAACAUUAUUACAGUAUCAAUUUGGCAGUAGUUUGUGAAGAACCUGUGUUUUUCUGCAGGAGAAACAGAAGAAAAUAAAGCCUUCAGCUACUGAGCUUUGCCACGCUAUCUCUAGUUCUCUCAAAUACAAGAUGAGGAUUUCAAAAAAUAUCACAAUUCCGUUUGUAUUAAACUUUGCUGAAUCUUCUUGAAUAUUAUGAACUAUGUCUUUAACUGAUACAGAAAACUACGUUUUUAUAUGUUUUUAAAUUACAUCUAGAUUUUUAUUCCAAUAAAUAAAUAAUAAGUUGUAUUGAUUCAAUACUUAUUAAAUUAGGCCAUCAAAUAAAUUAGGUCAUCAAAUAAAUGUCUUCUUCUUCUUCCUUAUUUCUAUAAAUAAUAAUUUAGCCAGGAAGUAAUCAAGUUUUAUAUGUCUAAGUAAUGCUUAUUCAUGUGGGGAAAGGAUUUUAUACAUGCAGGGAAGCUUGGAGGCAUCAUUGUGGCCUUCUAAUAGAUGACACAUUAUUCUGAAACAAAAAAAAAAUAGCUUAAAGCAAGAAUUACAUUUUGAGAUGUAAGUUAUGAGUGAUUAGGGAAUUAUUAAGCUAAAGCCAAGAAUCUAUGACUAAUUGUGAAGAAUACUUAUUCCAAUAUGUUAGACCAUAGUUAUUUUUCUCAGGAUAUUUUAGGUAAGGAAACUGAGCACAAAGAUUAAGUAACUUGGCCAAGGACUAAUAACUAUUAAGUGGUAGAGUCAGGACACAUAACCAGGAAGUCUGGCUCCAUUACACUUCUUUGCAUAACUUGUCCGUCACCUUGGGGAGAAUAUCCUAAUAUCAAAUCAUAAGACCAUUUCACUGGAGUUUUUACAGAAUUGAACCUAUUGUUCACAUAAGAAUAUCUUACUCAAAUAUUUAAGAUACUUAAAUAUCUUAAUGAAGAUUAAUUGUCACAUUGUUAUUAAUAGGAUGAUGGGACAGUCAAGGCCUAGAAGACCAGGUAUGUCAUAGAGAGAGAGAAUGAAAUAUUCUUGAGACAAAAACUCCCAUGGCCAGAAAGAAAUGGGAAUUCUUAUGGUUAGAAAAGGAAACAUGUAACUUAUAUUAUCCUUACUUUUCAUGUUACCAGAAUUAAUCUGGUUCUUCAAAAGUUUUAUAGCAUGAAACAAUCCAUUAGUCUUAAAAUAUCUGCCUACUACUGUAUUUAAACACAAAAUGUAUUAUUUCUAGUUUGUUCCAUAAUCAAUAGGAAUUCUUCUAAAAACUUAAAAAUCAAAAAUUA